RNAcentral lists this transfer RNA (71 nucleotides) under Ovis aries (sheep). It matches the Rfam family "tRNA". From Rfam's summary of the family: Transfer RNA (tRNA) molecules are approximately 80 nucleotides in length. Their secondary structure includes four short double-helical elements and three loops (D, anti-codon, and T loops). The record is from Rfam by way of RNAcentral. Lineage: Eukaryota; Metazoa; Chordata; Mammalia; Artiodactyla; Bovidae.
UCCCUGGUGGCUGAGUGGUAAAGAAUCCGCCUGCAGUGCAGAAGACUUAGGUUCGAUCCCUGGGUAGGGCA